UAAUAUGGUGUUGAAGAUAGUGGUUCAUCCCACUUAGGUUUCAAGGAUGAAAGGUUGGAAUAUGGGCAAUCAUUUCCUGGAGAUGGUAAAUUUACUAUUAGCAGGCAGAAUUGGAAGGGAAAUAUUGUGCUGAUGUUGGUGGUUCAUGCCACUUGGGUUUCAAGGAUGAAAGGUUGGAACAUGGACAAUCAUUUCCUGGAGAUGGUAAUGGUAAUUUUUCUGUUGGCAGGCAUAAUUGGAACAUGAAAUUUAUGGAUGCUACCUCUGCUGCUCAAGUAGCGGCUGACUUUACAGAACAUGUAAGCCUAGCUGCCGGAGCUGUUGUACAACUUUCAAGGCAAUAAAUCAUUGAUGAACAUGGGCAAUUAUUUCCUGGAGAUGGUAAUUUUUCUGUUGGCAGGCAGAAUUGGAACAUGAAAUUUAAGGAUGCUACCUCUGUUGCUCAAGCAGCGGCUGAGUUUGCAGAACAUGCACGCCUAGCUGUCAGAUAUGUUGUAGGACUUUCAAGGAAAUAUUGUGUUGAUGAUGGUGGUUCAUGCCACUUAGGUUUCAAGGAUGAAAGGUUGGAACAUGGGCAAUCAUUUCCUGGAGAUGGUAAUUUUUCUGUUGGCAGGCAGAAUUGGAACAUGAAAUUUAAGGAUUCUACCUCUGUUGCUCAAGUAGCGACUGAGUUUGCAGAACAUGCAAGCCUAGCUGCCAGAGCUAUUGUAGGACUUUCAAGGCAAUAUUGUGUUGAUGAUGGUGGUUCAUGCCACUUGGGUUUCAAGUAUGAAAUGUUGGAAUAUUGUCAAUUAUUUCCUGGAGAUGGUAAUUUUUCUAUUGGCAGGCAGAAUUGGAGCAUGAAAUUUAAGGAUGCUACCUCUGCUUCUCAAGCAGCGGCUCAUAUUGCAGAACAUGCAAACCUAGCUGCCAGAGCUGUUGUAGAACUUUCAAGGCAAGAUUGUGUUGAUGAUGGU
Molecule: long non-coding RNA, 956 nt
Filed under: Nicotiana tabacum (common tobacco)
Lineage: Eukaryota; Viridiplantae; Streptophyta; Magnoliopsida; Solanales; Solanaceae
Description: long non-coding RNA (NTAB_LNC009203)
Source: RNAcentral